This 253-nucleotide ribosomal RNA is filed under the name uncultured bacterium. RNAcentral describes it as "partial 16S ribosomal RNA". It matches the Rfam family "Bacterial small subunit ribosomal RNA", at positions 524 to 776 of the family's 1533-position model. The record is from RNAcentral.
UACGUAGGUGGCAAGCGUUGUCCGGAUUUACUGGGCGUAAAGAGCGCGCAGGCGGUCGUUCAAGUCGCGUGUGAAAGCCCCCGGCUCAACUGGGGAGGGUCACGCGAUACUGAUCGACUCGAAGGCAGGAGAGGGUAGUGGAAUUCCCGGUGUAGUGGUGAAAUGCGUAGAUAUCGGGAGGAACACCUGUGGUGUAGACGGCUUCCUGGACCGCCACUGACGCUGAGGCACGAAAGCGUGGGUAGCAAACAGG